AACACUAAGCCGGAUUAACGGAUAACAUUGAUAAAGUUAAAUAUGAAUAAAAUCUAGUGUUU
RNAcentral lists this transfer RNA (62 nucleotides) under Hirudinaria manillensis. Its description in RNAcentral is "tRNA-Ile". The record is from RNAcentral. Lineage: Eukaryota; Metazoa; Annelida; Clitellata; Hirudinida; Hirudinidae.